RNAcentral lists this ribosomal RNA (1742 nucleotides) under Bruguierivorax albus. RNAcentral's name for it is "Biostraticola sp. BGMRC 2031 partial 23S ribosomal RNA". It matches the Rfam family "Bacterial large subunit ribosomal RNA", at positions 1223 to 2925 of the family's 2925-position model. The record is from RNAcentral. Lineage: Bacteria; Pseudomonadati; Pseudomonadota; Gammaproteobacteria; Enterobacterales; Bruguierivoracaceae.
GUUGGGUAGGGGAGCGUUCUGUAAGCCUGCGAAGGCGGCCCGUGAGGGCGGCUGGAGGUAUCAGAAGUGCGAAUGCUGACAUAAGUAACGAUAAAGCGGGUGAAAAACCCGCUCGCCGGAAGACCAAGGGUUCCUGUCCAACGUUAAUCGGGGCAGGGUGAGUCGACCCCUAAGGCGAGGCUGAAAAGCGUAGUCGAUGGGAAACAGGUCAAUAUUCCUGUACUGGGCGUGACUGCGAAGGGGGGACGGAGAAAGCUAGGUUCGCCGGGCGACGGUUGUCCCGGUUCAAGCGUGUAGGUGGGGAGGACAGGCAAAUCCGUGCUCUCAUGACACCAAGGCGUGACGACGAGCCACCACGGUGGCGAAGGAAUUGAUGCUCGGCUCCCAGGAAAAGCCUCUAAGCGCCAGGUCACGCGCAAUCGUACCCCAAACCGACACAGGUGGUCAGGUAGAGAAUACCGAGGCGCUUGAGAGAACUCGGGUGAAGGAACUAGGCAAAAUGGUGCCGUAACUUCGGGAGAAGGCACGCUGGCGGUAGGUAAAGGACGUAGCGUCCGGCGCCGAGGCCAGUCGCAGAGACCAGCUGGCUGCAACUGUUUAUUAAAAACACAGCACUGUGCCAACACGAAAGUGGACGUAUACGGUGUGACGCCUGCCCGGUGCCGGAAGGUUAAUUGAUGGGGUUAUCCGUAAGGAGAAGCUCUUGAUCGAAGCCCCGGUAAACGGCGGCCGUAACUAUAACGGUCCUAAGGUAGCGAAAUUCCUUGUCGGGUAAGUUCCGACCUGCACGAAUGGCGUAAUGAUGGCCAGGCUGUCUCCACCCGAGACUCAGUGAAAUUGAACUCGCUGUGAAGAUGCAGUGUACCCGCGGCAAGACGGAAAGACCCCGUGAACCUUUACUAUAGCUUGACACUGAACAUGGAGCCUUGAUGUGUAGGAUAGGUGGGAGGCAAUGAAGUGUGGACGCCAGUCCGCAUGGAGCCGACGUUGAAAUACCACCCUUGAAUGUUCGAUGUUCUAACCUGGGCCCGUAAACCGGGUCGGGGACAGUGUCUGGUGGGUAGUUUGACUGGGGCGGUCUCCUCCCAAAGCGUAACGGAGGAGCACGAAGGUCAGCUAAUCACGGUCGGACAUCGUGAGGUUAGUGCAAAGGCAUAAGCUGGCUUGACUGCGAGAGCGACGGCUCGAGCAGGUGCGAAAGCAGGUCUUAGUGAUCCGGUGGUUCUGAAUGGAAGGGCCAUCGCUCAACGGAUAAAAGGUACUCCGGGGAUAACAGGCUGAUACCGCCCAAGAGUUCAUAUCGACGGCGGUGUUUGGCACCUCGAUGUCGGCUCAUCACAUCCUGGGGCUGAAGUAGGUCCCAAGGGUAUGGCUGUUCGCCAUUUAAAGUGGUACGCGAGCUGGGUUUAGAACGUCGUGAGACAGUUCGGUCCCUAUCUGCCGUGGGCGCUGGAAGAUUGAGAGGGGCUGCUCCUAGUACGAGAGGACCGGAGUGGACGCACCGCUGGUGUUCGGGUUGUCAUGCCAAUGGCAUUGCCCGGUAGCUACGUGCGGAAGAGAUAACCGCUGAAAGCAUCUAAGCGGGAAACUUGCCUCGAGAUGAGUCUUCCCUGAGGCUUAAAGCCUCCUGAAGGGACGUCAGAGACGAUGACGUGGAUAGGUCGGGUGUGUAAGCGCAGCGAUGCGUUGAGCUAACCGAAACUAAUGACCCGUGAGGCUUAACCUUACAACACCUAAGGUGU